UACCAUCAUCAUACUCAGCGUCCU
This 24-nucleotide non-coding RNA is filed under the name Arabidopsis thaliana (thale cress). The record is from RNAcentral. Lineage: Eukaryota; Viridiplantae; Streptophyta; Magnoliopsida; Brassicales; Brassicaceae.